GGGGCCUUAGCUCAGUUGGCAGAGCACCGGCUUUGCAAGCCGGGUGUCAGGGGUUCGAAUCCCCUAGGCUCCACCU
RNAcentral lists this transfer RNA (76 nucleotides) under Thermomonospora echinospora. RNAcentral's name for it is "Actinomadura echinospora tRNA_Ala_TGC". It matches the Rfam family "tRNA". Rfam says of the family: Transfer RNA (tRNA) molecules are approximately 80 nucleotides in length. Their secondary structure includes four short double-helical elements and three loops (D, anti-codon, and T loops). Further hydrogen bonds mediate the characteristic L-shaped molecular structure. tRNAs have two regions of fundamental functional importance: the anti-codon, which is responsible for specific mRNA codon recognition, and the 3' end, to which the tRNAs corresponding amino acid is attached (by aminoacyl-tRNA synthetases). tRNAs cope with the degeneracy of the genetic code in two manners: having more than one tRNA (with a specific anti-codon) for a particular amino acid; and 'wobble' base-pairing, i.e. permitting non-standard base-pairing at the 3rd anti-codon position. The record is from RNAcentral. Lineage: Bacteria; Bacillati; Actinomycetota; Actinomycetes; Streptosporangiales; Thermomonosporaceae.